This 258-nucleotide ribosomal RNA is filed under the name uncultured bacterium. RNAcentral's name for it is "partial 16S ribosomal RNA". It matches the Rfam family "Bacterial small subunit ribosomal RNA", at positions 95 to 354 of the family's 1533-position model. The record is from RNAcentral.
UUGGCGAACGGGUGAGUAAUACAUAGGUAACUACCCUUAAGACGAGGAUAGCCAUUGGAAACGAUGGAUAAAACUGGAUAGGAUAUAGAGGAAGAAUCUUUUAUAUUUAAAAGAGAGAUCUGCUUAAGGAGGGGCCUGUGGCGCAUUAGCUAGUUGGUGGGGUAAGGGCCUACCAAGGCGAUGAUGCGUAGCCGGACUGAGAGGUUGAACGGCCACAAUGGAACUGAGAACGGUCCAUACUCCUACGGGAGGCAGCAG